This 869-nucleotide ribosomal RNA is filed under the name uncultured Bacteroidota bacterium. RNAcentral's name for it is "bacterial SSU rRNA". It matches the Rfam family "Bacterial small subunit ribosomal RNA", at positions 9 to 880 of the family's 1533-position model. The record is from RNAcentral. Lineage: Bacteria; Pseudomonadati; Bacteroidota.
GAGUUUGAUCCUGGCUCAGGAUGAACGCUAGCGGCAGGCUUAACACAUGCAAGUCGAGGGGUAGAGAGAGCUUGCUUUCUUGAGACCGGCGCACGGGUGCGUAACGCGUAUGCAAUCUACCUUUUACAGAGGGAUAGCCCAGAGAAAUUUGGAUUAAUACCUCAUAGUAUUAUUAAUUGGCAUCAAUUGAUAAUUAAAGCUGAGGCGGUAAAAGAUGAGCAUGCGUUCUAUUAGCUAGGUGGAGUGGUAACGGCACCCCAUGGCAACGAUAGAUAGGGGCCCUGAGAGGGGGAUCCCCCACACUGGUACUGAGACACGGACCAGACUCCUACGGGAGGCAGCAGUGAGGAAUAUUGGACAAUGGGCGAGAGCCUGAUCCAGCCAUGCCGCGUGCAGGAAGACGGUCCUAUGGAUUGUAAACUGCUUUUUAUACGGGAAGAAACACUCCCUCGUGAGGGGGCUUGACGGUACCGUUAAGAAUAAGGAUCGGCUAACUCCGUGCCAGCAGCCGCGGUAAUACGGAGGAUCCAAGCGUUAUCCGGAAUCAUUGGGUUUAAAGGGUCCGUAGGUGGAUAAUUAAGUCAGAGGUGAAAUCCUGCCGCUCAACGGUAGGAUUGCCUUUGAUACUGGUUAUCUUGAAUUAUUAUGAAGUAGUUAGAAUAUGUAGUGUAGCGGUGAAAUGCAUAGAUAUUACAUAGAAUACCAAUUGCGAAGGCAGAUUACUAAUAAUGGAUUGACACUGAUGGACGAAAGCGUGGGGAGCGAACAGGAUUAGAUACCCUGGUAGUCCACGCCGUAAACGAUGGAUACUAGCUGUUCGGAGCAAUCUGAGUGGCUAAGCGAAAGUGAUAAGUGUCCCACCUGGGGAG